AGCAGUAGCCGCGGUAAUACGGAGGAUCCAAGCGUUAUCCGGAAUCAUUGGGUUUAAAGGGUCCGUAGGCGGUCUUGUAAGUCAGUGGUGAAAGCCCAUCGCUCAACGGUGGAACGGCCAUUGAUACUGCAGGACUUGAAUUAUUGGGAAGUAACUAGAAUAUGUAGUGUAGCGGUGAAAUGCUUAGAGAUUACAUGGAAUACCAAUUGCGAAGGCAGGUUACUACCAAUUGAUUGACGCUGAUGGACGAAAGCGUGGGUAGCGAACAGGAUUAGAUACCCCAGUAGUCCCUGUCUCUUAUAU
RNAcentral lists this ribosomal RNA (303 nucleotides) under uncultured bacterium. RNAcentral describes it as "partial 16S ribosomal RNA". It matches the Rfam family "Bacterial small subunit ribosomal RNA", at positions 507 to 809 of the family's 1533-position model. The record is from RNAcentral.